This 811-nucleotide ribosomal RNA is filed under the name uncultured Desulfobacterales bacterium. Its description in RNAcentral is "bacterial SSU rRNA". It matches the Rfam family "Bacterial small subunit ribosomal RNA", at positions 56 to 839 of the family's 1533-position model. Lineage: Bacteria; Pseudomonadati; Thermodesulfobacteriota; Desulfobacteria; Desulfobacterales. The record is from RNAcentral.
UGCAAGUCGUACAAGAACUCUUCUGCUUGCAGAAGAUAGUAAAGUGGCGCACGGGUGAGUAACGCGUGGGUAAUCUACCUCUGAAUCGGGGAUAACCCGCCGAAAGGCGAGCUAAUACCGGAUAAUAUCUUUUUAACUUAGGUUUUAAAGAUCAAAGGUGGUCUCUACAUGUAAGCUACUGUUUGGAGAUGAGCCCGCGUACCAUUAGCUUGUUGGUAGGGUAAUGGCCUACCAAGGCCGCGAUGGUUAGCUGGUCUGAGAGGAUGAUCAGCCACACUGGAACUGACACACGGUCCAGACUCCUACGGGAGGCAGCAGUGAGGAAUUUUGCGCAAUGGGGGAAACCCUGACGCAGCAACGCCGCGUGAGUGAUGAAGGCUUUCGGGUCGUAAAGCUCUGUCAAGUGGGAAGAACCUGCUAGAUAUUAAUACCAUCUAGCACUGACGGUACCACUAAAGGAAGCACCGGCUAACUCCGUGCCAGCAGCCGCGGUAAUACGGGGGGUGCAAGCGUUAUUCGGAAUUAUUGGGCGUAAAGGGCGCGUAGGCGGUCUCUAAAGUCAGAUGUGAAAGCCCGGGGCUUAACCCCGGAAGUGCAUUUGAAACUUAGGGACUUGAGUAUGGGAGAGGGAAGUGGAAUUCCUGGUGUAGCGGUGAAAUGCGUAGAUAUCAGGAGGAACACCAGUGGCGAAGGCGACUUCCUGGACCAAUACUGACGCUGAGGCGCGAAGGCGUGGGGAGCAAACAGGAUUAGAUACCCUGGUAGUCCACGCAGUAAACGGUGAACACUAGGUGUAGCGGGUAUUGACCCC